This 293-nucleotide long non-coding RNA is filed under the name Lathyrus oleraceus (garden pea). RNAcentral describes it as "Pisum sativum (pea) long non-coding RNA (PSAT_LNC035992)". Lineage: Eukaryota; Viridiplantae; Streptophyta; Magnoliopsida; Fabales; Fabaceae. The record is from RNAcentral.
UGAGAUGGUGCUGACUGCUGAAAUAAACUACUCAAGAGCUAUAAGAAAAAUGAGAACUCAAGGCUAUGUCAUAACAAGUAUUCAAAAUGAUUUUCAUAUUCAGGAGAUUUAAGGUGUUAAAACGAUACCGAUCUUGUGAACUUUUCCCAAGUCUCUACAAACCAACCUCAAAUUAUUCUAUAGCCUAAAACUUUCAACAAAAAUGCAAUUUUUUUUAGAAAGAAAACAAAAACAAAACAAAACAAAGAACAAAAACAAAGAAAAUAAAGUAUUCCCUCCCCCACACUUAAAAU